AGAGCAUAUCCAAGACGACAAAGAAUGGCUACCAUCACACAGAGGCAUCUUACAAUCCACGUCAACGUAAAAACAGACAAUGAAAGUUCAUUCGAAUCGGACCUGAGCAUGCGUGAUCCACUCAGUGCAGACGGACUGGCACAAGAGACUUCUACACCUGAUUCGGGUAAAUUGUUUGCAAUGAGAUUCCCAAGCAGAGAGAGCAGCGACCGAUUCGCCUAUAUCGACACGUACAAUAACGUAUUAAGGUAUGACAGUGAUGACGAGAAAAGAGGGCUAUCAGGCAAGUCAAUCUAUAUAGCUGUCCAAAG
Halichondria panicea is the source of this 311-nucleotide long non-coding RNA. RefSeq lists it as uncharacterized. The transcript is spliced from 3 exons. NCBI's taxonomy places the organism in Eukaryota, Metazoa, Porifera, Demospongiae, Suberitida, Halichondriidae. The record is from RefSeq and is a predicted model, not a curated record.